GGGGAAUUUUUACCGAGGGCAGCAGUGGGGAAUAUUGCACAAUGGGCGAAAGCCUGAUGCAGCGACGCCGCGUGAGGGAUGACGGCCUUCGGGUUGUAAACCUCUUUCAGUAGGGAAGAAAGGAAAGUGACGGUACCUGCAGAAGAAGCGCCGGCUAACUACGUGCCAGCAGCCGCGGUAAUACGUAGGGCGCAAGCGUUAUCCGGAAUUAUUGGGCGUAAAGAGCUAGUAGGCGGUUUGUCGCGUCUGCCGUGAAAGUCCGGGGCUCAACCCCGGAUCUGCGGUGGGUACGGGCGG
RNAcentral lists this ribosomal RNA (297 nucleotides) under uncultured soil bacterium. RNAcentral's name for it is "partial 16S ribosomal RNA". It matches the Rfam family "Bacterial small subunit ribosomal RNA", at positions 330 to 639 of the family's 1533-position model. The record is from RNAcentral.